ACGAACGCUGGCGGCGUGCCUAAUCCAUGCAAGUAGAACGCUGAAGAGAGGAGCUUGCUCUUCUUGGAUGAGUUGCGAACGGGUGAGUAACGCGUAGGUAACCUGCCUGGUAGCGGGGGAUAACUAUUGGAAACGAUAGCUAAUACCGCAUAAAAUUGAUUAUUGCAUGAUAAUUAAUUGAAAGAUGCAACUGCAUCACUACCAGAUGGACCUGCGUUGUAUUAGCUAGUUGGUGAGGUAACGGCUCACCAAGGCGACGAUACAUAGCCGACCUGAGAGGGUGAUCGGCCACACUGGGACUGAGACACGGCCCAGACUCCUACGGGAGGCAGCAGUAGGGAAUCUUCGGCAAUGGGGGGAACCCUGACCGAGCAACGCCGCGUGAGUGAAGAAGGUUUUCGGAUCGUAAAGCUCUGUUGUAAGAGAAGAACGGGUGUGAGAGUGGAAAGUUCACACUGUGACGGUAUCUUACCAGAAAGGGACGGCUAACUACGUG
This 496-nucleotide ribosomal RNA is filed under the name uncultured bacterium. RNAcentral describes it as "partial 16S ribosomal RNA". It matches the Rfam family "Bacterial small subunit ribosomal RNA", at positions 29 to 507 of the family's 1533-position model. The record is from RNAcentral.